UUUUAUUUCAUUUUUUGCUUCUUUCAAUUGCUCCUUCACUUUCACCAACUCAGAUUCAAGAUGGGAAUUUUGGAGAAGAACAGAAUCAUGAGCUUUUUUAAGAGUGGAAUAUUCCUCUUCCAGCUUCUUAUUCUUCCACCGUGCACGGCGGUUCUGAAACCAGACGGCGACUUGCCGUGGAUCAAGUCCCAAUUCAGAAGCCAACCGAUCUUUCCUCUCCGAUUCCAAUUUGUGUUCGUUGCCAAAAUUUAUCUCCAAAAGCUUCACUUGCUCUGAACUCAGCUUCCUCUUCUUCAACCCCGCCGCCCCGGCUCCGCCCCCCUCCUUCGCUUUGCUCCUCCUCCUCCGCCGCUUCGGCGGCUUAUUCCCCUCCGCCGUACCUUGUUGGGG
This 390-nucleotide unclassified non-coding RNA is filed under the name Hevea brasiliensis (rubber tree). The record is from RNAcentral. Lineage: Eukaryota; Viridiplantae; Streptophyta; Magnoliopsida; Malpighiales; Euphorbiaceae.